AGAGUUUGAUCCUGGCUCAGAACGAACGCUGGCGGCAUGCCUAACACAUGCAAGUCGAACGCUCGUCUUCGGACGGGAGUGGCGCACGGGUGCGUAACGCGUGGGAAUCUGCCCAAAGGUACGGAAUAACUCAGGGAAACUUGUGCUAAUACCGUAUGAUGCCGAAAGACCAAAGAUUUAUCGCCUUUGGAUGAGCCCGCGUAGGAUUAGCUUGUUGGUGGGGUAAAGGCCUACCAAGGCGACGAUCCUUAGCUGGUCUGAGAGGAUGAUCAGCCACACUGGGACUGAGACACGGCCCAGACUCCUACGGGAGGCAGCAGUGGGGAAUAUUGGACAAUGGGCGAAAGCCUGAUCCAGCAAUGCCGCGUGAGUGAAGAAGGCCUUCGGGUUGUAAAGCUCUUUUGCCCGGGAUGAUAAUGACCGUACCGGAGAAUAAGCC
Molecule: ribosomal RNA, 439 nt
Filed under: uncultured bacterium
Lineage: Bacteria
Description: bacterial SSU rRNA
Rfam family: Bacterial small subunit ribosomal RNA
Source: RNAcentral